This 246-nucleotide unclassified non-coding RNA is filed under the name Hevea brasiliensis (rubber tree). Lineage: Eukaryota; Viridiplantae; Streptophyta; Magnoliopsida; Malpighiales; Euphorbiaceae. The record is from RNAcentral.
AGGAACUAAGUAUCAAAUCUAUAAUAUGAUAUAUUACCUCAGACUACAUAAUUAUUACCAUGUUAUUAGGGAUGCAUGUAAAUUACUAUUAACCCAAACAUAUUAAUAAUUGACCUAAAUAUUCCAACCUCCCUCAACCAAUAUGAAAUAAAUAUUGUAAGAUUUUACAUAGAAAUGUAAGAAGCAGACACUUUUAUAGAGAUGCAUUCAAAAACUUUAACCACCAAUAUUGUGCAAGUUACUCCA